RNAcentral lists this ribosomal RNA (426 nucleotides) under uncultured bacterium. Its description in RNAcentral is "bacterial SSU rRNA". It matches the Rfam family "Bacterial small subunit ribosomal RNA", at positions 354 to 796 of the family's 1533-position model. The record is from RNAcentral.
GUAGGGAAUAUUGCACAAUGGGCGAAAGCCCGAUGCAGCAACGCCGCGUGCACGAUGAAGGCCUUCGGGUUGUAAAGUGCUUUUCUGCAGGAAGAGGAAGGACUGUACUGUAGGAAUAAGGAUCGGCUAACUACGUGCCAGCAGCCGCGGUAACACGUAGGAUCCGAGCGUUAUCCGAAUUCACUGGGCGUAAAGCGCUGGUAGGCGGCCGGAUAAGUUGGAUGUAAAAUCUCCUGGCUCAACUGGGAGUUGCCGUUCAAGACUGUCUGGCUAGAGGGCAAUAGAGGGAGGUGGAAUUCCAGGUGUAGUGGUGAAAUGCGUAGAUAUCUGGAGGAACACCAGUGGCGAAAGCGGCCUCCUGGAUUGCAACUGACGCUCAGAAGCGAAAGCUAGGGGAGCGAACGGGAUUAGAAACCCCAGUAGUCC